GCUCUCUGCAAGGUUUUGUACAUAUUCCCUGUCAUACGAACAUACUUUUCUGACUCAAAUAAGAUUCCCUCAACGUUGCUCUGAUCGCCAAAAGAUUUCAAAUGGGAAUUGUGGUUAUCAUGAGGGUGACUGCAGUCGUUGUCUUAAUGCCUGAAAGGAAUAAUUUGACCACGAGAACGGUGUGAACCUCAAAACCCCCUCUAACCGGCUGAAGAAGAGCGACAAAGGAGUGGGACAGGAGUACAUGUGAAGUAAGCAUGAAGAGAGAUCCGUUCCCAAACCUCUCUCAUAUUGCUGGUAUGCUGGUCAACAAGGGUGUGACAUUGAAAUUGGAACAUUAUCAUGGGCCAUCCACUUGAACUAUGAAGUUGGCUGAAGAAGACUAUGAAGAGAUGCCAGAAGAUUGAGUACCUGAAGGGGGUGGGGUUUGUCAACUAUGCCCAAAAUUGGGGUAUUAAGUUGAUUGUAGAGGUAUACACACUGAUAAAUUUAGUUAUUUAGAUUAAUAAUGCAUUGGGAUACUGAUCUAUGGUUAUAAUCGUGAUAAGAAAGUGAAUACUAUAAUUAUGGAUAAUUAUGCUAUAUGAUAAUAUAAAUAUACAUUCUGCCAGUGUCGAUGUGCUAAAUUGAAGGUUUUUAACUUUGAGUAAUAGGACCAAUCACUGAAGCAUUGUCAUUCUAAUUUUGGGUUGGAUAAUUAAUUGGGUAUUGAUUAUGAUUUGGAAACUGAAAGAUUUUUGAAAACUGACCAAUUGAUUUGGGUAUGUUCUUAGUUAAUAACUAUAUGAGUGAAGCAAUGAAUGUAUUAUGAAUUGAUUGUUUUGAUUGAUGCUAUGCUAAUUGUGACAUGGGUAAAGAAGUUGUGUACUAAAGAUUUUGACACUAUUCUCAGCAUGCCCUGGUGAAUGGAGAGGGUGCACUCUGACCCGGAGAUCCUGAGAGUGAACCUCAUCCUAAUCCAUUACCAAAUUACAUUUUCUAAAUGUCCACCAUGCUGACCCUUCUUAUUGUGCCAGGUGACAGUGUGACGAUUGUCCUGUGUGUUGUAAUGAAGCUUGCGUGCAAUGUGACAAAGAGAUGAUUGUCCUAUUU
This is a non-coding RNA of Salmo salar (Atlantic salmon), 1092 nucleotides long. The record is from RefSeq and is a predicted model, not a curated record. Lineage: Eukaryota; Metazoa; Chordata; Actinopteri; Salmoniformes; Salmonidae.